Salvia splendens (bonfire salvia) is the source of this 671-nucleotide long non-coding RNA. RefSeq lists it as uncharacterized. The record is from RefSeq and is a predicted model, not a curated record. Lineage: Eukaryota; Viridiplantae; Streptophyta; Magnoliopsida; Lamiales; Lamiaceae. The transcript has 2 exons.
GGAUCGUCUCUGUCUCUGAUCUCUGUCUCUGAUUUAUCUGGUAUCCAAUGUUUGUAAGUCGUCCGAUAUAUCGCGAUAUAUCGCGAUAUAUCGCCUGUAUCGGUAGGCCAAGGGUCGAUACACACCCAGAUGCGACUUAGGCGACUAACAUUCGAGUCGUCCGAUAUAUCGCGCGACUCGACCGAUUAGUCGCCUGAUCGAGUCGAGGACGACUUAAUGGGCUUCACUCCAGAUUGGGCCAGGCGGACAGGUAGGUGUCUAUUGAGCCCAUUAGGGUUUCUUUAUACAUCCCCCACACCCCCUCCCCACGUCCUCCUCCUCCAGAACUGCAGCCGCCGCCGACGCUCCCUCCACCUCCAGAAACUGAAGAACGCCGCCGCCUCUCCUGGACACGCCUCCGGCCUGCCUCAUCCGCCGCCUCUCCUCAUUCAGGAUGAACUCUAGUUCCGAUUAGAUGAUCGAAUUAGCUCUUUUUCUUCACAGCGGCCCAAGUCAGGUCACUAGCCAACACUUUUCCAUUUGGGUAAUUCUUUUGAAUAUGCUAGACGUGGCAUGUCUAGAAAGUGUAAUGUUUCUUUUACUUCCAAAACUUUUGUUAGACAUGCAUAUUUGUAAAUAAUUAUGAGUUAUCCAGGUUGUUUAAUGUAUUUAUAUGCACAAAUUUUUGGGAA